Long non-coding RNA from Electrophorus electricus (electric eel), 2620 nucleotides. RefSeq lists it as uncharacterized. Lineage: Eukaryota; Metazoa; Chordata; Actinopteri; Gymnotiformes; Gymnotidae. The record is from RefSeq and is a predicted model, not a curated record.
ACAGACAGCCUUCUAACCCAUCCCACUCUCUCCCUGAGACGGCAGCGUAGAUAUCCUGGGAUUCUCCCCGGCAGAUGCAAUCGAUCCCAGACUCCUGCUUGGUUUACUCGGGCGCAACGGCAGCCGGCCAGCAUCAGUGGGAGCUCAGGUAAACUCUCCAUGAGACCACUUUACUUUCAUUCCCCUCCACUUAUAGCUGAUGAGUAACUUGUUCCCUGACCACAUGAUAACCACUGCCACCCUUCCCCCCCACACCCCCAACCCAAAAUAAACAUUUAGUGCACCAACCUGACCCUCCUCCGGUUCCAGGGGGUGGACCAGCCUGUGCACAGUUUUCUGCCAUGAACUGAAUCAGAACCCUCAAAUAUCCAGCCAUGUCAGAUGUUCCCCACACCAUUCAAUCCUCCUAGCCUCUCAGGAUGGAGCCAGCAUCUCAUCUUUCACCACUGUCAGUUAUUUCCUCUUCAGACAAGUUCGCUUUUCAUAUCCACAACCUGGCUGCCCCAAAGGUCAAAUUAGAAUAUUCAUGGGGCCGGCUUUUAAAAAAAAGCACUUGGUGAAGGACGAUAAAGCUAGAUGAGUUCACCGCUGUUCUGCUCUGAACUUCCCCGCAGCCUCGUGCAGUCAUCGUUCUGCUCAUGCCCAGGCUGCUCUCUGUAGUUGAUGGUGGAACCAUGUGCCUGUGGAGAUUAUUCAGUCCAAGAAAAAAAGUCACAUUGUUUAUAAAUCCUGACAGAAGAUACUAAAUCCCUAAAUCCUCACAGAAGAUACUAAUUUGGAUGGCAGAAGCCUUGAGGAGCCUGAACUCUUGGGAUGGUGGGAAUCUUCUCCUCUACUUCCACUUUUAGACUUGCGGACAGGCCCAGACUAAUUGGACAUGAAGGUGUUCUAUUUUGAGCAUAGCUGCAGCCUGGCCUGGACCACCCUGUUGAACUCUGGCCAUCUCCUUAAAUGAGACACAAGCUCCUGCUGCCUGGAGUAUGACACGUCCUGGCUUUUCUGAUUGUUCCUCUUUUUUUUUGUCUGCUGCUUCAGAUGUUCCUCAAGUGCGUGCUGUGGAGGCGUCUCAUUAUCUCUGAGGCUUUGAGAAGAGGACCUGUAGCUUGGUCUUUUUUGAUGAGUGCUAUAGAAGUGGUGGUGUGCUAUAUACCAUGUUCUCCACCUCACAAACCCCUGCUUACUGUGGUCUCUCUAGACCAGACAUUGAUCUUAUUUCUGUGCUCACGGCUUUGAGCAGUAAAUCUAAUGGCUGCUUUAGAGGUCUGAGCAUGUCUUAAAGUCCAAAUGCAAAUGUAAUUGUUAAUAAAACCUUUAGAAUACAUUCAGAAUGUUUUCAGAAUGGAUUUCAUUAUUAGCAUUAGUGCUGUUUAUAAUGAUUUCAGCAUUUUAAGUGCUUCAGUCAAAUGCACUCUGGCACCUUUUCUGCUCUAGCAGAACAGUUGAACUCGAUGCUCAAGUCAGUCAGACCAGGUCUCACGCCUACCCAAUAAACACUGUUCUUCAGGGCUCGGCAAUGGCUUGCCUUCCCACACAGCUCCCAGUGUGCUGUCUAGAUUGGUACCUGCUGUAAAUAAAGAGCACAUCCGCUCUAACCUCUGGGCCAUUUUUAUCCGCUCAAACCACCAUCAUUAGGGAUGCUGUGCCAGCUCAGCGGCAAAGACACAGAAGUGAAGACCCUGCACUUAUACAAGUGUUGACCCCGAGCAUGACGCACAGCACCAGGGAGCGAGCCACAGCCGGACGGGUUGCGCCCCACACAGCAACCCCAGUCCUGCAGCCCAAACUGAAGAUUUGAGAGCUGUAUGUGUAGCUGAAUGUGAAGAACACAGGCCAGCUGGUCCAGCUGCAUUGUGUCGGGCCUGCCUGCUGGUCGAUCGUGUUCUUCCCAGAGCCUGCGUGGGGGAGGCAGACGGAGCGGUGGGAGCCGAGUCCCCAUUACUGCUAGAGGGAGGGCACCUAAAGCGCAUCAGAGCAGCGCACUCCCAACACCCUUGCGCACCCCUGCAGACCUGUCCACAAAGACCAGAAAGAGCCCAACAACAGACACGUCCUCAUCCUCUGACUUUUUCCAUUUUCUGUUGUUCAUGUCUCUUUUCUGACCCCCUGGCCAUGCUUUUCAUUGUGGUUCUUUGAACACAAGAACUCUGUUUUGCUCAACUGAUCAAAUAUAUUCUAUCUGUCAUUCUGAAACACAUCUGUAAACUGUAUAUUUAUAUAUAGACCUUUAUGGCAUGGAGUGAACCAAGGCCACAAGCAUUAAAUUCUCUCUGGGGAAAGAUUUCAAGAUUAUGUUGGUGGUUGUGAUACACUAGUCUGACACAAAUAGUAUCUCAGAAGGACUGUAAGUGCUGAAACUGUGUGUAUGUGGUAAGGUUCAUAUUUCUGUGAUGCAUUAGCUAUAGAUAAGAUGUUAUAAAUGGAAAUAUCUGUAAAAGUAGUCUGCUGGUGUUUGCGUGUGUUUGUGUUUGUGUGUGCAAGUGUGUAUGCGUGUGUGCGCUAGUGUAACCGCAGAUUGUCUCUGUAUUGAUUCAACUUGUUCAUUCUGGUUCUGAUUUCUGGUGCUCAGUGGCUUCUGUACUCUUUAGUACAGUGACAGUAAUACAAAAAAGAACUCUUUGGA